This is a non-coding RNA of Nelumbo nucifera (sacred lotus), 621 nucleotides long. The record is from RefSeq and is a predicted model, not a curated record. Lineage: Eukaryota; Viridiplantae; Streptophyta; Magnoliopsida; Proteales; Nelumbonaceae.
UGAUUGGCACUCCAACUGAAGCAGAUUUGGGGUUUGUGAGUGAAAAUGCAAAGAGAUACAUUCGACAACUUCCUUGUCAUAUUCGACAAUCAUUUACCGAAAAGUUUCCACAUGUUCACCCUGCAGCUAUUGAUCUUGUUGAAAAGAUGUUAACAUUUGACCCUAGACAGAGGAUUACAGUUGAAGAUGCAUUAGCGCACCCAUACUUGGCUUCCCUGCAUGACAUUAGCGAUGAGCCUGUCUGUUCAACUCCAUUCAGCUUUGACUUCGAGCAACAUGCACUGUCCGAGGAACAGAUGAAGGAGCUUAUAUACCUGGAGUCCCUGGCAUUCAAUCCUGAAUAUCAGCAGCAGUAAUGAGUCAUCAGAUUCUCCUCUCAUUGCCUAGUUUGGUCCCCGAAUAUUAUGAGGAAAUUGAUUCCUUAUGUAAAUAUGUUCAUUUAAAAACCUUGAUGGUUCUGGGAUUGUAUUUAUCUGACGAUGGGCAUGAAGUUUGUGGGAUUCGUGUAAUGGAAGGGUGUUUAUAUGCAUGCUUGCUUUCUAUGGCUGCUUUUCCAUUAUUAAGUUAUCAAGCUACAAGAAUUGGUUGCACAAUGUUAAGUAAUUUUCGCUCUUCUAUACA